GCCGAACCGUGCGAACGUUGUUCGGAAUCACUGGGCUUAAAGGGCGCGUAGGCGGUGGGUCAAGUCGGUGGUGAAAUCCUUCAGCUUAACUGGAGAAGCGCCUCCGAUACUGACUCUCUGGAGGGAGGUAGGGGCAUGUGGAACUCAGGGUGGAGCGGUGAAAUGCGUAGAUAUCCUGAGGAACGCCGGUGGCGAAAGCGACGUGCUGGACCUCUUCUGACGCUGAGGCGCGAAAGCCAGGGGAGCAAACGGG
RNAcentral lists this ribosomal RNA (253 nucleotides) under uncultured bacterium. Its description in RNAcentral is "partial 16S ribosomal RNA". It matches the Rfam family "Bacterial small subunit ribosomal RNA", at positions 524 to 776 of the family's 1533-position model. The record is from RNAcentral.